This 464-nucleotide ribosomal RNA is filed under the name uncultured bacterium. RNAcentral describes it as "partial 16S ribosomal RNA". It matches the Rfam family "Bacterial small subunit ribosomal RNA", at positions 338 to 795 of the family's 1533-position model. The record is from RNAcentral.
CCUACGGGAGGCAGCAGUGGGGAAUAUUGCGCAAUGGGCGAAAGCCUGACGCAGCGACGCCGCGUGAGGGAUGAAGGUCUUCGGAUCGUAAACCUCUGUCAGCAGGGAAGAACGGUCACUGUGCUAAUCAGCAGUGAAUUGACGGUACCUGCAAAGGAAGCACCGGCUAACUCCGGGCCAGCAGCCGCGGUAAUACGGAGGGUGCGAGCGUUAAUCGGAAUUACUGGGCGUAAAGCGCUCGUAGGCGGUCCGGAAAGUCAGCGGUAAAAGCCCGGGGCUCAACCCCGGCGAGCCGUUGAAACUGUCGGACUAGAGACGGCGAGAAGUACGCGGAAUGCGAGGUGUAGCGGUGAAAUGCAUAGAUAUCGCGCAGAACUCCGAUUGCGAAGGCAGCGUACCGGCGCCGGACUGACGCUGAGGCACGAAAGCGUGGGUAUCGAACAGGAUUAGAUACCCGAGUAGUC